RNAcentral lists this ribosomal RNA (176 nucleotides) under uncultured bacterium. Its description in RNAcentral is "partial 16S ribosomal RNA". It matches the Rfam family "Bacterial small subunit ribosomal RNA", at positions 118 to 291 of the family's 1533-position model. The record is from RNAcentral.
UGAGGAACAUGACCUUCGGCGGGGGGUAGGCCGGCCCAACGGCCGGGUAAUACCGCGUACGACCACAUGGGGACAUCCCUGAGUGGUGAAAGCAGCAAUGCGCCGAUGGAGUGCCUCGCGGCCUAUCAGCUAGUUGGUGAGGUAACGGCUCACCAAGGCAACGACGGGUAGCUGGU